AUGACCUUUUUUAAUUUUAAAGCUUUUCCAGCCGGUCUUCAGACACACACUCAGUAAAUUCAUUGAUACUGACUCCACUGCCAGAGCAAAAACCAAUUCCAGUAAUUGAAAGCGGCAGCCAUGAGCAGCGGGAGACAUCAAGUCGUCCAAAGUCACCUGCGCAAGGAGAAGAAGAAAGACAAAACAGCAACCCAGUCGUGUAGGCGGCGUGACUCACAGCCAGCCAAUCGUCUUGAAGCACUAGUGACGUGUGCACGCUGUCUGACUGGGCAACGUGGCAGGCGCCCUCUAUAAAAGCCAUUUACCUGCUACAGCUGGGUACCUGUCUUCUGCUGCUAUCUACACAGAAAAAAUAUCAAACCCUGUCGGCAAAGUAUACAGCACAUUUAUCAUCACUACCACGUGACGUUGGAAAGCAUACAGCCAUGUCGCUGUUAAGACUUCUGAUGAUGAUCCUCAUCAUUGUGUAUCUGGUGAUGGUUGGAUAUGUACAGUCAAAGGCUCUUUCUGCAAAGUGCAGUAACAACCAUGCCGUGUGUGGCAUGAUGCCCUCGGGGUGCUGCUUCUAACCCAGCCAUGUGUUCUCCAAACAGUCCGAGACACUUUGUUUUGAAAAAGUUAAAAACAGAGAAAUCGUUACUUUAAGUUAAUCCUUCUUCUAUAAAUGGAAAUCAUGUUUGAAGAUAUUAAUACAGAUGUCUAAAAAAAUGUCGUUAAAAUACAAGUAGAGUGAUUUCUUUUCGACAGUGCUUAGUGUUUGAAGUAUAAGAUUUGAAAUGAAUUUUAAAA
Pomacea canaliculata is the source of this 789-nucleotide long non-coding RNA. RefSeq lists it as uncharacterized. The record is from RefSeq and is a predicted model, not a curated record. Lineage: Eukaryota; Metazoa; Mollusca; Gastropoda; Architaenioglossa; Ampullariidae. The transcript is spliced from 5 exons.